RNAcentral lists this ribosomal RNA (433 nucleotides) under uncultured bacterium. RNAcentral's name for it is "partial 16S ribosomal RNA". It matches the Rfam family "Bacterial small subunit ribosomal RNA", at positions 29 to 507 of the family's 1533-position model. The record is from RNAcentral.
AACGAACGCUGGCGGCAUGCCUAACACAUGCAAGUCGAACGAGACCUUCGGGUCUAGUGGCGCACGGGUGCGUAACGCGUGGGAACCUGCCCUUAGGUUCGGAAUAACUCCCCGAAAGGGGUGCUAAUACCGGAUAAUGUCUUCGGACCAAAGAUUUAUCGCCUUUGGAUGGGCCCGCGUUGGAUUAGCUAGUUGGUAGGGUAAAAGCCUACCAAGGCGACGAUCCAUAGCUGGUCUGAGAGGAUGAUCAGCCACACUGGGACUGGGACACGGCCCAGACUCGUGCGAGAGGCAGCAGUGGGGGAUAUUGGACAGUGAGCGAAAGCCUGAUCCGGCAAGGCCGCGUGGGUGAUGAAGGCGUUAGGGUUGUAUAGCUCUUUGGCCCGGGAUGAUAGUGACAGUACCGGGAGAAUAAGCUCCGGCUAACUCCGUG